AGGAUGUUGGCAGUAAGAGAGAAGAGUGUACCCGAGUUAGCUUUGUAAAAAUGUGCAUCUCUGAGAAUCUGAUCCUGUGUCUCACGGCCUCUUGUAGAGACGGAAGGCACUGCGACAGCGUUAAAACCCAGCUGCCUCCCGGUGCCCCCAUGUUCAAGUUCACUAACCUCCAGCAGAAAGAUCAGCCCGUCGGUGGAUUCCCUCACUGGUUCUCGUCAGUACCAUGACCGCAUAAGCUGCUGGUGUGCGCGAAGCUCUGUGGGAAAGACAGGAUUUUGCUGCUGUUUCGUAAAUUUAUAAGUAUCCGUUCGCCGGGGAACAGGUCUGCCUUGGGUUCAACCAUACUGUAACAGGUCAGGUUGCUGAUUUCAUGUUGGCUCAACCAAGCUCAUGGUCCUUGCGAUAAUGAGAUGUAUAAAAUGCCAUAACAUGUUUUAACACGAGUGUGUGCCCACAUGGGAAAUGUAAAAGAAAAUGGAGACGAUUCAGGGUGUGUUAGAGGUUCUGAAAGAGCAAAGUAGACUUCAAAAGGACUUGGUUAUACAGUAAAACCUUGGAUUUCGAGCGUUCUCCAAGAUGAGCAAACAUGUCUAACAAAUUUUAACUUGAUAAGCGAGCAAUGUCUUGCUUUACGAGGGGUACGUGACACUGAACAUCACACGAUCACAACUGACCUGAUGGUUCUUUUCUUUUUUUAAUGUUUUAUUUAUUUUUGACACAGAGAGAGACAGAGCAUGAGCAGGGGAGGGGCAGAGAGAGAGACACACAGAAUCGGAAGCAGGCUCCAGGCUCCGAGCUGUCAGCACAGAGCCUGAUGCAGGGGUUGAACUCAUGAGCCGCGAGAUCAUGACCUGAGCUGAAGUCGGACGCUUCACCGACUGAGCUACCCAGGCGCCCCUGAGCCAAUGGUUCUUGAAAUGUGCUUUCAUAGACAAGUGCUUUGGAUUACACACAUGCGUCCGGAACAAAUUUUGCUUGCAAACCAAGGUUUUAGCAUAUUCUCAUUUUUUUUCUGUUGAUAAAUUUGCUGUUGCAGGAAUCGAGUGUGUUCUAGAGGGGGAAUCAGUAUGUUCUUCCUACUGACUUUAUAAACCGGGACAACAGUUGUAUGGAUUUUUUUGCAUCUCUCUGAGAAUUGGCUAAUUGUUCGUUUUACUCCGAAACAUUCAUUCAAUUCAAUGGCAACCUCAAAGCACAUUAAACACACAAAGUUUAAUAAUUCCA
Molecule: long non-coding RNA, 1224 nt
Organism: Acinonyx jubatus (cheetah)
Lineage: Eukaryota; Metazoa; Chordata; Mammalia; Carnivora; Felidae
Exons: 2
Source: RefSeq, a predicted model, not a curated record